UACGUAGGGUGCAAGCGUUGUCCGGAAUUAUUGGGCGUAAAGAGCUCGUAGGCGGUCUGUCGCGUCGGCUGUGAAAACUCGGGGCUCAACCCCGAGCCUGCAGUCGAUACGGGCAGACUAGAGUGCGGUAGGGGAGACUGGAAUUCCUGGUGUAGCGGUGAAAUGCGCAGAUAUCAGGAGGAACACCGGUGGCGAAGGCGACUUACUGGAUUCAUACUGACGCUGAGGCGCGAAAGCAUGGGGAGCAAACAGG
This 253-nucleotide ribosomal RNA is filed under the name uncultured bacterium. RNAcentral describes it as "partial 16S ribosomal RNA". It matches the Rfam family "Bacterial small subunit ribosomal RNA", at positions 524 to 776 of the family's 1533-position model. The record is from RNAcentral.